CCCACUUCUAGCCCAAUUAAACUUUAAUUUGGUUACAUGUGGUUUUUGACAAAAUAAUUUGUGAGAUGGAUGCUAUUUUAUCAUGUAAGCAAAGUUAACAGCGAUUACAAGGUAUUUCUUUUCAUUUCUUUAAAGUGUUUUAUGCAUCGUCUGUACGUAGUCAUAAUUUAGCUCAUAAAUAGACCGACUACGAAUAAACCACGUUUAGCCCAGAAAUAACCAUGAAUUUAAUUACAUGUUGUUUUGCCAAAAUUAUUUGUGAGAUGUAUGAUAUUUAAUAAUGUAAACAAAGUUCAAAGCAAUUAAGGUAUUUUGUUUCAUUUCUUUAAAGUGUUUUAUGCACCGUCUGUACUUAGCCACUAUUUAGCUUACAAAUAGACCGACUACGAAUAACCCACGUUUAGCCCAGAAAUAACCAUUAAUUUAAUUACAUGUUGUUUUGCCAAAAUGAUUUGUGAGAUGUAUGAUAUUUAAUCAUGUAAACAAAGUUCAAAGCGAUUAAGGUAUUUUGUUUCAUUUCUUUAAAGUGUUUAUACACCGUCUGUACUAGCCACUAUUUAGCUUACAAAUAGACCGACUACGAAUAACCCACGUUUAGCCCAGAAAUAACCAUUAAUUUAAUUACAUGUGGUUUUUGCCAAAAUAACUUGUGAGAUGUAUGGUAUGUCAUUGUAAGCAAAGUUAACAGCGAUUACAAGGUUUGUUUAAUUUAUUUAAAGUGUUUUAUGCACCGUCGUACAUAGCCACUAUUUAGCUCAUAAAUAGACCGACUACGAACAAACCAUGUUUAGCCCAAAAUAACCUUGAAUUUAAUAAAAUUUUGUUUUUGCCAAAAUAACUUGCAAGAAUUAUGAUAUUUUAUCAGGCAUGCAAAGACACCAGUGAAAUUAAGAUGUUUGGUUUAAUUUAUCUUAUCUGAAUAUCUGCUGUCACGCAUAACAUUCAUUAUUUGACCGUAUUUCAAAGAUAAACAAAAUCCAGUUACAACUCCGAACCGCUAGAUGGCAGCAGUACACAAACACGGGGCCAAAUCUCACGAGAAAGAUUUCCGCUGUUUGAAAAGCAACAACAUCAGCGAGCAGCCACGAGGAAAGUAUGUACCACACUCGUUUGGUCUUAGUUCACUAAAAUUCAUUAAUUUCAAAGUUCAACAUGAAUAGUGGUGGUCCACUGCAGAAGCAAGCAUUUGAAAAAACAUCAGUUCUCAGUUAUUAAAGAUGCUGUGUUGAACAACUUCCCAGCAGCAACAGAACUGGAAGUGAAGGAUGCAAUGGGGGCAUUUCAAACAGGCACCAGGGAGCACGGGGGGGGGGGUAUAGAAAUUAGUACAAUUAAUAAGUUGACGUGAACUGAAGAUAGUUUGUUAAUGUUUAGAUGUUAUUUCAUUUUUAAAAUUGUAUUUUGUUAUAUAUGUUUUUAUUUUGUUACUGUUUUUAUUCUUUUUGUUAAAAGUAGUUUUUCUUCAUUUUGUAUUAUCUGAAUUUCUAUUGUAUUAACAAUAUUUUUUGUAAUAAAUUGCAUGAUUGCA
Molecule: long non-coding RNA, 1528 nt
Organism: Paramisgurnus dabryanus
Lineage: Eukaryota; Metazoa; Chordata; Actinopteri; Cypriniformes; Cobitidae
Source: RefSeq, a predicted model, not a curated record